AUUGAACGCUGGCGGCAGGCUUAACACAUGCAAGUCGAACGAGUGGCGGACGGGUGAGUUAUGCUUGGGACUCUUGCUUAUGGAGGGGGUUCACUACGGGAAACUGUUGCCACUACCGCCUUCCUUAGGAUGAGUCCAAGUGGGAUUAGGUAGUUGGUGAGGUAAAGGCGUACCAAGACGACGAUCUCUAGCUGGUCUGAGAGGAUGACCAGCCACACUGGAACUGAGACACGGCCCAGACUCCUACGGGAGGCAGCAGUGGGGAAUAUUGGGCAAUGGGCGAAAGCUGAGCCAGCCAUGCCGCGUGGGUGAAGAAGGCCUUCGGAUUGUAAAGUUCUUUAAGUAGGGAGGCGUUAACUACAGAAGAAGCACCGGCUAACUCCGUGCCAGCAGCCGCGGUAAUUC
This 405-nucleotide ribosomal RNA is filed under the name uncultured bacterium. RNAcentral's name for it is "partial 16S ribosomal RNA". It matches the Rfam family "Bacterial small subunit ribosomal RNA", at positions 30 to 526 of the family's 1533-position model. The record is from RNAcentral.